Molecule: ribosomal RNA, 386 nt
Filed under: uncultured bacterium
Lineage: Bacteria
Description: bacterial SSU rRNA
Rfam family: Bacterial small subunit ribosomal RNA
Source: RNAcentral
AUUGAACGCUGGCGGCAGGCUUAACACAUGCAAGUCGAACGAUGAAGUCUAGCUUGCUAGACGGAUUAGUGGCGAACGGGUGAGUAAUGCUUAGGAAUCUGCCUAUUAGUGGGGGAUAACGUAGGGAAACUUACGCUAAUACCGCAUACGACCUACGGGUGAAAGGGGCGUUUAGUCUCUCGCUAAUAGAUGAGCCUAAGUCGGAUUAGCUAGUUGGUGGGGUAAAGGCCUACCAAGGCGACGAUCUGUAGCUGGUCUGAGAGGAUGAUCAGCCACACUGGGACUGAGACACGGCCCAGACUCCUACGGGAGGGCAGCAGUGGGGAAGUAAUUGGACAAUGGGCGGAAAGACCUGAUCCAGCCAUGCCGCGUGUGUGAAGAAGGCC